Molecule: small nuclear RNA, 23 nt
Filed under: Arabidopsis thaliana (thale cress)
Lineage: Eukaryota; Viridiplantae; Streptophyta; Magnoliopsida; Brassicales; Brassicaceae
Description: snRNA_10916
Source: RNAcentral
CGUCUGAUAAAUCAAGCUUCCUG